GGCCCCACACAUGCAAGUCGAGCGUGAAAGUUCUUCGGAAUGAGUAAAGCGGCGGACGGGUGAGUAACGCGUAGGAAUCUGCCCUGAAGUGGGGGAUAACUUGGGGAAACUCAAGCUAAUACCGCAUAGACCUGAGGGUGAAAGAUGGGGAUCUUCGGACCUAUCGCUUCAGGAGGAGCCUGCGUCGGAUUAGCUUGUUGGUAGGGUAAAGGCCUACCAAGGCGACGAUCCGUAGCUGGUCUGAGAGGAUGACCAGCCACACUGGGACUGAGACACGGCCCAGACUCCUACGGGAGGCAGCAGUGGGGAAUAUUGGACAAUGGGCGCAAGCCUGAUCCAGCCAUGCCGCGUGUGUGAAGAAGGCUCUAGGGUUGUAAAGCUC
This 382-nucleotide ribosomal RNA is filed under the name uncultured organism. RNAcentral describes it as "bacterial SSU rRNA". It matches the Rfam family "Bacterial small subunit ribosomal RNA", at positions 45 to 433 of the family's 1533-position model. The record is from RNAcentral.